RNAcentral lists this signal recognition particle RNA (88 nucleotides) under Deltaproteobacteria bacterium. RNAcentral describes it as "partial signal recognition particle sRNA small type". It matches the Rfam family "Bacterial small signal recognition particle RNA", at positions 12 to 97 of the family's 97-position model. From Rfam's summary of the family: The signal recognition particle (SRP) is a universally conserved ribonucleoprotein involved in the co-translational targeting of proteins to membranes. Lineage: Bacteria; Pseudomonadati; Myxococcota; Myxococcia. The record is from RNAcentral.
ACGCAACGGCAUGGUUACGAACCCUGUCAGGUCCGGAAGGAAGCAGCAGUAAGUAACUCAUCCGUGUGCCGUGGGUUUUCUGAUGUAA